This 74-nucleotide transfer RNA is filed under the name Alphaproteobacteria bacterium. RNAcentral describes it as "tRNA-Arg". It matches the Rfam family "tRNA". Rfam says of the family: Transfer RNA (tRNA) molecules are approximately 80 nucleotides in length. Their secondary structure includes four short double-helical elements and three loops (D, anti-codon, and T loops). The record is from RNAcentral. Lineage: Bacteria; Pseudomonadati; Pseudomonadota; Alphaproteobacteria. RNAcentral also lists the same sequence under 4 other names.
GCGCCCGUAGCUCAGCUGGAUAGAGCGCUGCCCUCCGAAGGCAGAGGCCGGGGGUUCGAAUCCCUCCGGGCGCG